RNAcentral lists this long non-coding RNA (1100 nucleotides) under Prunus dulcis (almond). RNAcentral describes it as "sRNA ncRNA". The record is from RNAcentral. Lineage: Eukaryota; Viridiplantae; Streptophyta; Magnoliopsida; Rosales; Rosaceae.
ACUUGCACAAAAAGAAAAUCGCUAGAUCGCCCAUGUGUCCGCUCUGUAAUGAUCACCCGGAAACGGCUGAACACAUCCUUCUCCUCUGUCCUUGGGUGGAGCCUGUCUGGUUCGGAUGCUCCCUCAACCUUCGUAUAAAUCAUCAGGCGGUGACAUCUUUCGGCCAAUGGUUAGGGAAUGUUAUUGAGAAAGGGAAGACCCCACAGGAGCGAUCAAGAUGCCUAACUGUUAUCGCGUACUUCUGCUGGCAGAUUUGGAAGGAUAGGUGCAAAGCAGUGCUGGAACACAUCUCCCCUUCACCAGCCAGAACUACCCACGCUGCCUCUAUUGCCAUCAAUGAAUUCCUUGGCUCCCUUGAUCAUGGCAGACAUCAAACUGUGCAUCCUACCCUUUCUAAUGACAACCAACAACAACUUUGGAACCCCCCUGCCUCUCCCUUUGUCAAAGUCAACGUGGAUGCAUCAUGGAAUCCAAACUCAAAGAGGGUUGGCAUUGGUAUCCUAAUUAGGAACACUCAUGGAGACUUUAUCAAGGGGUCAUCCAUCCCAUCUGUGGCGAACUCUGCUAUUGAGGCUGAGGCACAGGCUUGUCUUGAAGGCUGUAAGCUCGCUGCUGAGAUGGGUUUUCAUCAAGUAACUUUUGAAUCUGAUUGCAAGGAAAUCAUCUCUCCUUUGAAGGGCCCCUUAUCCAAUGGAAGGUGGGAAAUCUAUCCUAUCCUAAGUACUGUUCGAGAUGUUUUGAACUGCUUCCAGACCUACGUUUGGACGUGGAUUCCUAGAACCGCCAACCAAGCGGCAGAUCAUUUGGCAAUGCUUGCCAUUUCGAGGAUGAGCCCAGAAGUAUGGGUCAACCGACCCCCAUCCUCUCUAAUGCAUAUCCUGAACAAAGAUGGUUUACCAUGCCCCCCAAGGAGUGCUUAAUGUUUGCGGUUGUGUGGGCUUCUCGACGUAUCCGGUUGUCUUAUGACUACGUCUUUUUAUUAGUCCUCCUUCCAUGCAGCUGUGAUGUUUUAUUUCUUGUUGUUUCGUUGUGCCUAGCUGCUUUAUAGGUUGUGUACUUCUCUUGGCUGUUUGCCUUUUUAUGAAAUUUCCAUAUUUCAG